GGUUUUCCUCGUAGGGCUUGUAGCUCAGUCGGUUAGAGCGCGCGCUUGAUAAGCGUGAGGUCGGAGGUUCAAGUCCUCCCAGGCCCACCAGUUACACUAUGCAGCAAAUUGCUCUGAUCACUGAAAGUUGCUCUGAGUGAGAAUGUUAAAAUCUAGUGAAAUGUUCCCAAUUCUUUAUUGAAUAAUCCCUUAAAGAAAAUUUAUGCUUAAAUAAAUUCUUCUAAGAGCAUUCAGAGCCUCCAUAGGAACUCAAAGCCUUCCAUAGAAACGAAGUUUUCGCGAGAAUUUUUUCACUCCUCUUCAGUAAGGGGAAAACAGGAAAAUAACGAGGGAAAUAAAAGGCCAAUAUUGUAUUUCUUAAUCAAUUCAAUUAAUCAAUAUUGUCUCUCUCUUUGUAAAAAGCUUAAUGGUAAAAGUUUAAAAGAGCUUCUGUUUUAAAAGUAUGACGUUUUU
This 453-nucleotide unclassified non-coding RNA is filed under the name uncultured Bartonella sp. RNAcentral describes it as "partial 16S-23S ribosomal RNA intergenic spacer". The stretch from base 14 to 87 matches the Rfam family "tRNA". Lineage: Bacteria; Pseudomonadati; Pseudomonadota; Alphaproteobacteria; Hyphomicrobiales; Bartonellaceae. The record is from RNAcentral.